Molecule: long non-coding RNA, 3489 nt
Organism: Schistocerca cancellata (South American locust)
Lineage: Eukaryota; Metazoa; Arthropoda; Insecta; Orthoptera; Acrididae
Exons: 2
Source: RefSeq, a predicted model, not a curated record
CACGGCAUUCAGGGCAACUUUUCCGCCUUCUUUCCACUUCAACCCUUCUGAUGGGAGGAGCUGCCACAGGGUCUGAGAGAUUACACAUUUCUUUAAUCUUUACAUGUGUGUUCUGCUGCAAAAUGAUGAAAGAAGUGAUACUUAACAGAAAAAACUGAAGAAUCAAUGGGGGAUCAAACCGAAAACCUUUGGCUUUGAAGGUUGGAACUUAACCCACUGAAGGACAUUUAUGAAAAGGCCAUAAGGGCUCUGAAGCCUGGAACUUAUCCAUUUUGGGAAAUUUGUGUACAGUCUAUUAAUAAGUUAUUUAUCAAAUAGAAAGUACAUUGAGCUAAAGGAACUAACCAUAGUCAAAGAAUUUGGUACAUCAAGUAAACACAGUUUAUUUAAGUUACAAAUAAUUUAUUGGCAAACAAAUUUGUCUGUAUGGCCUGCUUAUUAGAAUAAUAAUUCAGAUAGAAAUUUACUCUAAUAAUGCCUGUAUCUAUUCAUCACUAUGUCUUGUGCUUCCUCCCUCUUUCUGUUCAAUGCAGUUAAUGUUAUCAGCUGUAAUGAGUCCUGUAUGUUCAUUUGAUCGAUUAAGUGCAAAAGCCUAGAGUGUAGCUGGUCUGAAGUUUUUUAUUAAUAUAAACAAAGCUGACAAUUAUAAUUUGUUGUCAUGCUACUCGAUGUAAAUCUUUCCCAUUUAUUUAAAACGUGUCUCAAUAUAACCGAGACUUUGACAGCAGACUGAAUGGGAGCAUUAUUUCAUGAGCUACUCUUCCAAACAAAUUUACAGUUCCACAGUGUGCCUCAUGAUACCGAUUGCACACACCUGCAACACAUGCGAAGGGAGUGGUGGGCAGCGAACAUUGCUCACAUGGUUGCAGUGCUCUAGUAGGUCCCCUUGUUAGAGCAAAAUGCAAACUAGUGCCAUGACAAUUUCGGUUUGGUGUUGGUCACAUGUGCUACAUGCUACACCCACUCAAUUUUUUGUUCUCGUAGCCACUGACUAUGCACUCUUCUGUAUCCAGCACAAUAUUAGAGAAAUUGUGUCAUAUGUGUAUCAGCUAACGGUAACACAAGCACCAAAAGUGGGACAGUUUCAGUAUCUUAACUGUUUCUAAUCAUGUUUCAUGAUCAACAAUAAUUGUCAUUUGUUCUUUAAGAACAAUAUCUUUGAUUGAUAUUCCUGAGUUACUGUUACUAAUGGGAAAGUAGGUCUUCUCUAAGUAUUUAAGGUGCGGAAAGCUACAGUUCACUAACUUUCUACAAAGACGUUUAUAAAUUCUGCUGCAAGGCAUUUCAAUAGACAUCACAGUAAAGCAUCUUGUUUUAAAGUCAUUCAACACACACUAUGGAGCAACAUGCUCAACAAACUCAAAGUCGAAAAGUGUGGUUAAAACUAGUGUGAGACCGAGGGCGUAAGCAAUGCAAUAUACGUUGCACAAUUAAUAAAAGGUACUUAUAAGGAAUUGUCAAUCUCUCUGAGAGAAAAAUGGUACAAGUAUUUAUAAAAAGCAAUACAACAAUUUAAUAGAAAAUGUGUAGAAAAUCACAAUUUGUACCAUAGACUGCUGGAUGUGCUUGUGCUUGUUAAAUAAAUAAUGCCUAAAGUAAGGAUGAGAACAAAAAGUACAAAAGUAAAACAAAAUCAGAAAAAAACAAGCAUUAAACUACACACUGAAUAUUGCAUCUCCAAUAUUUGCACAAUUUGCAAUUAAAAUAAAUAUGGACAACACAAAAGUAACAACAUUUACUGGAUGACAAGAAGUCUCCUAAACUCUAACAAAUUGGAGGGUUCUGGUGGAAGUAAAUGAAGAAAACAUUGUACAGUGGGAAGCAUGCAGAGCUUUCAUGAAUGUUUUGGAGUGUCUUCUACUCAUAAUUUAGUCAUUUCACUGCAAUUGGUUAGUGACCAUUACCAAACUGUUAAGAGAAUAUUUGUAGACUGCAAAUCUAAGUUAUUUAUAUGAAUGCAGAAACGAGACAAAAGAUGACAUUUAUUAGACACACAGGUAUAAAACUGUAAUCACCAAUAAAAAAAUAUUCUCAAAUUAUUGAAGUGUUUUAACUUAAUUACUUGCACUUCAAUUUCUAGAUCUUUACUACAUUUUAUAUAUUUAUAAUUCUUCAAAGCAUCUGCUCACUUGCUCCCCAGCUAAACAAGGAGAAAUACAGUAAGGAAAGAUAUCUCAAUGAUGAGCUGAAGUGUUUUCGUGUAUUCUAGUGUAGCGUUUCAACCUCAGACAGCAGUAUUUAUGGGAGAACUUAUCAAAACACAUAAUGACCAAAUGCUACAACACCGAUAAAACAUUGUAUGAUGCAGUUACAUUUACAAUCUGAAUUCCACACAACUUACUGCAUGGAGAGCACCACUUACAAAGGCUGCCAUAUGCAUGUUCAAAAACAACUAUAUGCAACUUAUCAACAGCAUAUACCAGAUAUUCAAUGCAAAUCAUUAUAAAUCAUAAAUUGAUUGAUGCAUGUUCAUAUGUGGAUACACAAAAAAGAAAUAUUUUUUAAUAAUUUUACAACAAUCAUGAGUCAACUGAAAAACAUUUGUUUCCUAACUAAAAGUAGUAUUGUAACAGUAUGUUUUUAAAUGAUAAACAGAAGCCAGAAAACUAUCUGCAUCUGUUAUUUAACUAAAUAUGAUUGUUGCAUGAUAAAAUUCAAUUUAUCAAUACCCAUGGUGCUGCAGUACACACACUACCUUCAAUCUACAUAAGGACUGUAGCAGUAGCUCCCAUAUUCUCAACAAAUUUCAUACCAACUGAUUGGCACACAAUAUCAAAAUAGACCCAUAUAAUUAAAAGGACCUUCAUAAAGAAUAAAUUAUUUUCCUUUAUUUGCUCCAUGCUGUUUGAAAAUUGUAGCAAAGUAAAGGAAUACAUGCAAAGGAUUCCCACUUUGUGCAGGGAUUAGCAGUUGGCUCUCAAAUAAAUGUAAUGUAGUGUGCUUAUUUAGGCAGAAAUACCCAUUAUUGUAUUGUGCAACCAAUCAGUGGAAAUAUGCAGUCAUAAAGUGGAAUGAUCACACACAAUUAGUUGAAGGAAAGGCAGAUGCCAGAAGAAGCCUAAGGACAUGUAACUCACCCUUGAAGAUGCAGCUUACAAAUCCAUUAACUCAUCGAUUUUGGGUACUGCUCAGCAGUCUGGGAACUUUAACAGGUAGGAUUAAUAAACAAUACCUAAAGAAGAGCAGCUCUUUGUGUCAGAUUCAUUUAGUGAGGACAAGAUUGUCAUGUAGAUGAUCAUACAACUUCAGUGGCAAACACUACAGGAGUGGCCUUUUGCAUCAUUGAGAGGUCUAUUGUAAAUCAUAAGGUGUAUAUUCCAAAAAGAGAGUCAAGCAACAUAUCUUGUGAAAUGACCCUGACAAUAAAAUCUUAACCUCAUUAAGAGUCUUAUCAACAGUGUUUCUUAUUGCACACCACUUAUGACCAUCUGCCACACACUCAAGUUGGCAUGAUGCAGAGUACACAGGUAGAUGUAUUAAGGACCGUAA